UUUAGUACCACCCUAAAUGUGCCCAAUCUUGUCUGAUCUCAGGAACUAAGCAGGGUUGGGCCUGGUUAGUAGUUGCAUGAGAGACCUCUUCAUAUGUUUUUGCUUCAUCUUAAU
RNAcentral lists this ribosomal RNA (114 nucleotides) under Microcebus murinus (gray mouse lemur). Lineage: Eukaryota; Metazoa; Chordata; Mammalia; Primates; Cheirogaleidae. The record is from RNAcentral.